CCUACGGGAGGCAGCAGUGGGGAAUAUUGCACAAUGGGGGAAACCCUGAUGCAGCGACGCCGCGUGAGUGAGGAAGUAUUUCGGUAUGUAAAGCUCUAUCAGUAGGGAAGAAAAUGACGGUACCUGAAGACGAAGCCCCGGCUAACUACGUGCCAGCAGCCGCGGUAAUACGUAGGGGGCAAGCGUUAGCCCGAUUUAAUGGGUGUAAAGGGGGCGCAGACGGCGAUGCAAGCCAGGUGUGAAAGCCCGGGGCCCAACCCCGGGACUGCUCUUGGAACUGCGUGGCUGGAGUGCAGGAGGGGCAGGCGGAAUGCCUGGUGUAGCGGUGAAAUGCGUAGAUAUCAGGAGGAACACCGAUGGCGAAGGCGGCAUGCUGGACUGCAACUGACGUUGAGGCCCGAAAGCGUGGGGAGCAAACAGGAUUAGAUACCCCAGUAGUC
Molecule: ribosomal RNA, 440 nt
Filed under: uncultured bacterium
Lineage: Bacteria
Description: partial 16S ribosomal RNA
Rfam family: Bacterial small subunit ribosomal RNA
Source: RNAcentral